This 253-nucleotide ribosomal RNA is filed under the name uncultured bacterium. RNAcentral describes it as "partial 16S ribosomal RNA". It matches the Rfam family "Bacterial small subunit ribosomal RNA", at positions 524 to 776 of the family's 1533-position model. The record is from RNAcentral.
UACGGAGGGGGCUAGCGUUGUUCGGAAUUACUGGGCGUAAAGCGCACGUAGGCGGCUUUGUAAGUUAGAGGUGAAAGCCCGGAGCUCAACUCCGGAACUGCCUUUAAGACUGCAUCGCUUGAACGUCGGAGAGGUAAGUGGAAUUCCGAGUGUAGAGGUGAAAUUCGUAGAUAUACGGAAGAACACCAGUGGCGAAGGCGACUUACUGGACGACUGUUGACGCUGAGGUGCGAAAGCGUGGGGAGCAAACAGG